GCACUACAAGGCGUGAAGCUUGCGGUUUAAUUGGAGUCAACGCCGAGAACCUUACCAGGGGAGACAGCAGGAUGAAGGCCAGAUUGAAGGUCUUGCUAGACAAGCUGAGAGGAGGUGCAUGGCCGUCGCCAGUUCGUGCCGUGAGGUGUCCUGUUAAGUCAGGCAACGAUCGAGACCCGCACCCCUAGUUGCUACUGGAUCCCGUUGGGAUCCGGGCACACCAGGGGGACCGCCACCGAAAAGGUGGAGGAAGGAGCGGGCCACGGCAGGUCAGUAUGCCCUGAAUCCUCUGGGCCACACGCGAGCUGCAAUGGUAGGGACAGAGGGUCCCCACCCCGAAAGGGGGAGGUAAUCCCUAAACCCUAUCUCAGUUGGGAUCGAGGGCUGAAACUCGCCCUCGUGAACGUGGAAUGCCUAGUAACCGCGUGUCAUCAUCGCGCGGUGAAUACGUCCCUGCUCCUUGCACACACCGCCCGUCGAUCCAGCCGAGUGAGGUUUGGAUGAGGCGCAGUCUUAUAGGCUGUGUCGAAUCUGAGGUUUCGCGAGGGGGGAU
This 553-nucleotide ribosomal RNA is filed under the name uncultured archaeon. RNAcentral's name for it is "bacterial SSU rRNA". It matches the Rfam family "Archaeal small subunit ribosomal RNA", at positions 876 to 1429 of the family's 1478-position model. The record is from RNAcentral.